This 468-nucleotide ribosomal RNA is filed under the name uncultured bacterium. Its description in RNAcentral is "partial 16S ribosomal RNA". It matches the Rfam family "Bacterial small subunit ribosomal RNA", at positions 28 to 507 of the family's 1533-position model. The record is from RNAcentral.
GACGAACGCUGGCGGCGUGCUUAACACAUGCAAGUCGAACGGAAAGGCCCUGCUUUUGUGGGGUGCUCGAGUGGCGAACGGGUGAGUAACACGUGAGUAACCUGCCCUUGACUUUGGGAUAACUUCAGGAAACUGGGGCUAAUACCGGAUAGGAGCUCCUGCUGCAUGGUGGGGGUUGGAAAGUUUCGGAGGUUGGGGAUGGACUCGCGGCUUAUCAGCUUGUUGGUGGGGUAGUGGCUUACCAAGGCUUUGACGGGUAGCCGGCCUGAGAGGGUGACCGGCCACAUUGGGACUGAGAUACGGCCCAGACGCCUACGGGAGGCAGCAGUGGGGAAUAUUGCACAAUGGGCGGAAGCCUGAUGCAGCAACGCCGCGUGCGGGAUGACGGCCUUCGGGUUGUAAACCGCUUUCGCCUGUGACGAAGCGGGAGUGACGGUAAUGGGUAAAGAAGCACCGGCUAACUACGUG